This 816-nucleotide long non-coding RNA is filed under the name Cercocebus atys (sooty mangabey). RNAcentral describes it as "lncRNA (ENSCATG00000045442.1)". The record is from RNAcentral. Lineage: Eukaryota; Metazoa; Chordata; Mammalia; Primates; Cercopithecidae.
UUAUAGCACAGAGCAGCAGUCAGACAUUGUGGUGCCUCUACAAAAGCAAGGUUCUGCAGCAGGAGAAAGAAACCCUGGCAGGCCUGAGCAUGUGUUUACUAGAAGGAAUGGAAGUCUAGCUCAGAUAUUAAAACUUGUGCUUACUGUUUGUGCUUGCAGAAAAGGAAAGGAGUCCAAUGCAUGGUGGCAAGAAUUAAUUAGCAAAAGAAAUGCACAGCCAUUGUAAAAAGAGUUUUACACGUAGAUCAUAAUGUCUUCACUUUCUUUCCCACAAGUAAUGCCUACGCAGUUUCACUGGUGAGAGGGUCUUAUGAGCCAUCCAGAGAAAAGCUUCCAUAUUUCCCUUCCAGAAGACCUGCUUGCAGUCCUGGAAUUUUGAAAGUGUGGGGAAAGCAGUCAAGCCCGCGCGGAGCGAUUGUGAGGGGCUCUGCUGGAAUUUGGCAGCGCGGAGGCUUGGAGAGAAGCCCCAUGCUGGCUCCCAUUCAGCCGGCCCGUUUUCCUCGAGCUUUGGAAGUUUCACUCAGCCGUGCACUCAAUGGCUUCACAAAGCUGAUUACAAGCUUCAGCGCAUUCCUGAAGGAGCCAAAAGCGACGCAGGUGCAAACGAGCCGAGGGAGCCCCUUAUCCCGGUGACAGAAUGGGACAAGCUAGGAAAGGCUUGGACCACACAAAUCCAAGGCUCACCAGGCAGCAGAAAGCCUGCCUUGGGAACCGGGGGUCAUUAUCCGCCCUAUUCAGCGGGGCCCGGGGACCCUGGGGGCCCAGCAAGGCUAGCCCGGGCGGGAGCACCGCCGCCAGCGCGCGCGGGCGACAGGG